GGAAGUAAAGUCGUAACAAGGUUUCCGUAGGUGAACCUGCGGAAGGAUCAUUAUUGUAUAACCGAGGUGCGAGGGCUGUCGCUGACCCGAAAGGUCGUGCACGCCCGAGUGCCCUCACACACAUCCAUCUCACCCCUAUGUGCACCACCGCGUGGGUCCCCCUUUGGCUUGUUCGGAGGGGGGCUUACGUUUUUACACAAACUUUGUAUGCAGUGUAGAAUGUAUUUUUUGUUUUUGCGAUCACGCAAUCAAUACAACUUUCAACAACGGAUCUCUUGGCUCUC
Molecule: unclassified non-coding RNA, 284 nt
Filed under: plant metagenome
Description: partial contains small subunit ribosomal RNA, internal transcribed spacer 1, and 5.8S ribosomal RNA
Rfam family: Eukaryotic small subunit ribosomal RNA (bases 1-53)
Source: RNAcentral